GGAACAGAGAGAAUAUGUGGUAUUUAAUAGAAAAUAAUAUAAAUCAUGGCGCGCCUUGACCUUUUACCUCGAUUUUUGAUAAGGUGAGGUGAAAACUUUGUCAUAAAAUAUAUUAUUUGUAAUAAUGAUUAUUCCUCUUCUUAUGGCCUCACUAAAAGUAAUACAUAUGUUUAUGAUAAACUUUCCUCCCGAUUCCACUUCUCAUAGCUUGUAAAGACACCUUAUGGAAAACC
Molecule: long non-coding RNA, 233 nt
Filed under: Lathyrus oleraceus (garden pea)
Lineage: Eukaryota; Viridiplantae; Streptophyta; Magnoliopsida; Fabales; Fabaceae
Description: Pisum sativum (pea) long non-coding RNA (PSAT_LNC028590)
Source: RNAcentral